AUGAAAAUUUUAUGCUGGAACUGCCGUGGGAUAGGCGAUCCCGCGACAGUUCGUGAAUUACGUGAUCUCGUGGAGAUCAGUUCGCCUUCUAUCUUGUGUUUAGUUGAAACCCAGUUACAGAAGGGUCGUGUCGAAGGUUUACGCACGUCGUUAGGGUAUGAUUUCAGCUUUGGUGUCGGUAGUAGUGGUCGUAGUGGAGGUCUUUGUAUUUUUUGG
This 216-nucleotide ribosomal RNA is filed under the name Triticum aestivum (bread wheat). RNAcentral's name for it is "partial small subunit ribosomal RNA". The record is from RNAcentral. Lineage: Eukaryota; Viridiplantae; Streptophyta; Magnoliopsida; Poales; Poaceae.